Molecule: small nuclear RNA, 103 nt
Organism: Suricata suricatta (meerkat)
Lineage: Eukaryota; Metazoa; Chordata; Mammalia; Carnivora; Herpestidae
Source: Ensembl
GUUCACUUUGGCGCACAUAUACUAAAAGUGGAACAAUACAGAGAAGACCGAAUGGCCCCUGCACAAGGAUAACAGGCAAAUUCACGAAGUGUUCAAAGAUAAA